This 815-nucleotide ribosomal RNA is filed under the name uncultured bacterium. RNAcentral's name for it is "bacterial SSU rRNA". It matches the Rfam family "Bacterial small subunit ribosomal RNA", at positions 8 to 806 of the family's 1533-position model. The record is from RNAcentral.
AGAGUUUGAUCCUGGCUCAGGACGAACGCUGGCGGCGUGCCUAAUACAUGCAAGUAGAACGCUGAAGAGAGGAGCUUGCUCUUCUUGGAAGAGUUGCGAACGGGUGAGUAACGCGUAGGUAACCUGCCUUGUAGCGGGGGAUAACUAUUGGAAACGAUAGCUAAUACCGCAUAACAAUGGGUGACCCAUGUCAUUCAUUUGAAAGGGGCAACUGCUCCACUACAAGAUGGACCUGCGUUGUAUUAGCUAGUAGGUGAAGUAACGGCUCACCUAGGCGACGAUACAUAGCCGACCUGAGAGGGUGAUCGGCCACACUGGGACUGAGACACGGCCCAGACUCCUACGGGAGGCAGCAGUAGGGAAUCUUCGGCAAUGGGGGCAACCCUGACCGAGCAACGCCGCGUGAGUGAAGAAGGUUUUCGGAUCGUAAAGCUCUGUUGUAAGUCAAGAACGAGUGUGAGAGUGGAAAGUUCACACUGUGACGGUAGCUUACCAGAAAGGGACGGCUAACUACGUGCCAGCAGCCGCGGUAAUACGUAGGUCCCGAGCGUUGUCCGGAUUUAUUGGGCGUAAAGCGAGCGCAGGCGGUUUGAUAAGUCUGAAGUUAAAGGCUGUGGCUCAACCAUAGUUCGCUUUGGAAACUGUCAAACUUGAGUGCAGAAGGGGAGAGUGGAAUUCCAUGUGUAGCGGUGAAAUGCGUAGAUAUAUGGAGGAACACCGGUGGCGAAAGCGGCUCUCUGGUCUGUAACUGACGCUGAGGCUCGAAAGCGUGGGGAGCGAACAGGAUUAGAUACCCUGGUAGUCCACGCCGUAAA